CGGCGACGCGCCGGUCUAAGUCCCUUGGAACGGGGCGUCAUAGAGGGUGAGAAUCCCGUAUGUGACCGGUGACCGAGCCCAUGUGAAGCUCCUUCGACGAGUCGAGUUGUUUGGGAAUGCAGCUCAAAAUGGGUGGUAAAUUUCAUCUAAAGCUAAAUACCGGCCAGAGACCGAUAGCGCACAAGUAGAGUGAUCGAAAGAUGAAAAGCACUUUGGAAAGAGAGUCAAAAAGUACGUGAAAUUGUUGAAAGGGAAGCGCUUGCAACCAGACCUGCCCGCGGGCGAUCAACCGUCCUUCUGGGCGGUGCACUCGCCCGUGAUCAGGCCAGCAUCGGUUCGGGCGGCCGGAAAAAGGCCUUGGGAACGUAGCUCCUCUCGGGGAGUGUUAUAGCCCUCGGUGCAAUGCGGCCAGCCUGGACCGAGGACCGCGCUUCGGCUAGGAUGCUGGCGUAAUGGUUGUAAGCGGCCCGUCUUGAAACACGGACCAAGGAGUCUAACAUCUAUGCGAGUGUUUGGGUGUCAAACCCAUACGCGUAAUGAAAGUGAACGGAGGUGGGAACCCCUCGCGGGGCGCACCAUCGACCGAUCCAGAUGUCUUCGGAUGGAUUUGAGUACGAGCAUAGCUGUUGGGACCCGAAAGAUGGUGAACUAUGCCUGAAUAGGGUGAAGCCAGAGGAAACUCUGGUGGAGGCUCGCAGCGGUUCUGACGUGCAAAUCGAUCGUCAAAUUUGGGCAUAGGGGCGAAAGACUAAUCGAACCAUC
RNAcentral lists this ribosomal RNA (762 nucleotides) under Caloplaca sp. 2 UA-2013. RNAcentral describes it as "LSU rRNA". It matches the Rfam family "Eukaryotic large subunit ribosomal RNA", at positions 166 to 944 of the family's 3401-position model. Lineage: Eukaryota; Fungi; Ascomycota; Lecanoromycetes; Teloschistales; Teloschistaceae. The record is from RNAcentral.